UGAAAAGUCGACUGCGGAUCUGCAAGGGAUAGGAUGGUAGUGGAUCAGAUGAUUAUAUAAAAGUAUAAUGUGCCCGUGUCACCAACGGAUGAUCGAGAUGGUAUGUCCGGUAUCACUUUAAAUGUUCACAACUCUCAGGAUGGCGUAUUUCUGCCUGCCGCUUAUUUCCUGCUUUGACCUUGUGAACUCGUCCGUGUGACCCGGAAAAAUCACUUCAAAUUCUCAUCUUUUAUUUUGAUAUGCCUGGGCUUGUUAUGUAUUACCCAGACAGGAUGUGACAUCACCGGGUCCAAACGUCAGGACGGGCUACCUAGGAUGUCCAGAACCCGUGCUGCUGGAGGAUGCUUCCUCGCAGCGGGGUCCAGUCAAGUGAUGCUCGCUGGAGGAUGUAGGAGUGAGCCAAGCAGGCGAGACAGAGGCACAGGAGACUGAAAAUCUCUAUUUCCUCUUCUUCCUGGUUUGAGUAUGACCCCUCACCUGGCUUGUGACCCUUCAACUGGAUAUCACUCCUAAGAGUUGGCUCUGGGGCAGAUUACUCCUGUUGAACCACAGUGUUAGACCAGCACCCUGUCUACAACAUCACAGCCAGUCUACACUGGGGCUGUGACUACUGGCAUGACUGGGACCAGUGUGGCCCAGACUCCUCUCCUCCAUACCCAGACUGUAGCAGCUGAUCCCUAUCGCCACCAGGGGCACCUGGCUCCCCUCCCUCCUCUGACUGGAUCAAUGACUAGAGCCAUCCCAUCCCAGGGACCAGGGGUCAGCAUCAAAAGCCCCCUGCCCACAUCCUUGCCACCUGGUGCUCUCUUUAGGACGAGAGGGUACACUUCCACCCCUCCACCCUCCUCCUGAACAGACCAGGCUGUUUGGACAUGGAGCCAGAACAGGGUCUUCGUGUGAUCUCCCGCGCCCCCUCCCCAGCCGCCCCCCACAGGGAGAGGGCCAGGGGUCAACCCCAUCAGACCACCACACGGCUCACAGAGCCAUUUGAUGAGGGGAUCUGUUUUGGAUUUCAUAAUGCCCUCUGAAUCAUGAUCCUGAGCCCUACUCAACUUGGUUAAAUGUGUAAUCUGUUUGUCAAAAGCUUCAUGUUGUAAAAACAUUUGUUUUCAGGGAUUUAUGGAUGUGAAGUUGACCUGGUCAAUUAAGGUUUGUAGAUGACUGUUUUCCUGAUUUCAACAUACAGUACAUAUACAACAAUACUCACUUGACUUAAUUACUGGUUCAAAUGAACAUAUCAACAACAUACUGUUAUUUAUGAUACUGUUUAUUAGGUCAUUAAGUAAUUGGGGCAUGUAUGACACCAUAUUGACAGUUAUGAUAAUUAAUCUGACAUGUUUCUGACUAAUCACAACAGGCUUCAAUUUCACUAACUCAUACAUAAUAAUGUAUGAUGUGUCACUACCUCACAGAUUCCUACCAAUGAAAAACUGUACAUGCAGUAUAAAAAAAAUUCUGCCACUCUUGAAGGACAAUAGAAGUUAAAUAUAUGAGAAUAUGUUGUUAAAAAUAAUACCUUUUUGACAUUGAUGCCUUCUAUCCAGACUUCACUGACUGACUUUACUGACUCGUGGAAGUGUGUUAUGGUCAUUCAACUUUGAUACAACAUACCCAAUAUGAAGACUCAGUUCCUCUGUGAUACAGAGCCUGUAUGUUGUUCAGGCUGUCAGUACAUCAUGAAUACAUAUUAAUGAACCCAGAUUUCUAAAUCUGUUUAUUGAGCUUCUUCUUCCAUUUCCUCCCUCCAUUCUUUCCUCCAAUGCGUUAGCAGAUCCCAGUAUGUCCCCUAGUCUUGUGACAAGGGAUGAAAAGGAGAGAAAAAAAGGUCUAAUGAGUUUGGCAAAAGGAGGACGGAGGGGGGAGACAGAUGGCAUGAAGUCUGCGUGGCUCUGGCGUGGCUCGCCUGGUGCUAAAAUCCUCCUCUCUCACAUUCCAACAAAUCCUAGCAGGAGGUUGGGGAGUCUGCCACACCACUCAGUGGAUCCACGGGGUUCUCUCUUGCACCCCUUUCCUCACUCCCCUGCACCCCCGUAAGUCCCUGGCCAAGGGUGUCAGCCUCCCCCAUACCAUAUCCCCACAUGUAUACAUAUAUUAACAUGUUUGUACAGUAUAUAUAGUAUGAUGGGCCAGUUUAUUGGCCUGCUAAGAUAAUAAACACAGGAGGGUGUGAGACGGAGACAGGCGCUGAUUGUUAGUAUGGAAUUGGGCGUGUGGGAUCAAAUUGGGAGUGGACCUAUCCCUCCACUCUAGUGUCAAAUCUCAUUGAGUAAACAUAGGACCCAAGCAUGGAGGCAAAGACUGUAAUCCAUUUAUAUGAGAGGAAGAAAACCUAAGUAGCUUUUCAAUUAGUUUCGCCACCCCCAGCUCCUGAUAAGGAGGAAACGCUGGCAAGUUGAGCCUGUCACAGGCCAGACAUGCCCUGCUCAGAUUGCCCCAUAUUCUCCUCAGUCGGUCCGUCGGUGGGGCUUAUGGCCAAAUGUACAGUAAGUGUAACUGCAUGGUAAUCACACACAGACAGUAUGCCCCACCACUGGCCCGCGGUGACCGCAUGACGUCUUCAUGUGUUUCCACUUCUAAAUUGUUUUGGAUUGCAUUUGAAUUUUAGGAAUGUGCAUUGAGGAGCACCAUAUAAAAGUACAUCAGCGAUAUGAUAAUCAUGUUUAUAAUGUAUAUUACGGACUAUCUCUCUCAAUAUUCUCUCUCUCUUUAUUCUCUCUCUCACUAUUCUCUCUCUCUCGUUAUUCCCUCUCUCUUUAUUCUCUCUCUCUCUCUCUUUCGUCUCUCUCUCUCUCUCUCUCUCUUGUGUUUCUCUGUCUGUCUCUCUGUGUAUAAUUGACUGUAUAGUGCACACUAUCAAUCUCUAACACACUUUUCUCUCUCUCUCUCUGCAUGUAUAUAUUGUGUAUAAUGUACUGUGCAGUGUACACUAUCAAUCUUUAUCUCACUAUCUCCUCUCUCUCUUUAUUCUCUCUCUCUCUCUCUUUAUUCUCUCUCUCUCUUUCGUCUCUCUGUCUCUGUGUAUAAUUGACUGUAUAGUGCACACUAUCAAUCUCUAACACACUUUUCUCUCUCUCUCUGCAUGUAUAUAUUGUGUAUAAUGUACUGUGCAGUGUACACUAUCAAUCUUUAUCUCACUAUCUCUCUCCUCUCUCUCUCUCGGCACUUUGCCUUCUGCUCAUGCUAUUGAGUGGCUCUUCUGGGAAAGGAGGAUGCUGUGAAAAGGUCACAGGAGGUUUGAGUAUCAAAUUACUGUUAAUGAUAACGAUAAUAAAAAGAGAAAUCUGCUCCAAAUCUUAUCUCUGAGCUUUUUUUCCCCCUCCGUAUGGAAUGUGAUUUAUGUGCACUUGGUCUUAUGAAUUGCUUUGCAUGAUUGUAAGGAGAUGUGUAAUUCAUUACAGUGCACAAACUGUUGUUCAUUUGUUGUUCUAUGCUAAUGUGUAUGGAGCUGUAUGUCAUUCAUGUGUGUCUCCGAGGCUCUACUAUGAUGAAAGACACAAUAGUGAGCCAUCUGGGUUGUACCGAGCAUCACACGACAAAAUGACAUCUCAACAUCUCAACCCCAAAGCUUUACACAAACAUUUACAUCCCCAACACUGCAUUUCAAGUUACAACCACAGAAAAUGCUAAUAUUAUUACACUGCCCUAAACUUGGCUCAUGUCUUCACUGAAACUGUACUUACACUACAUUUAAAUGCAAAACUGUCCAUAAACUUGUUGUAAACACUUGCUCUCUCAGUCUUUCGUCGGAUUCUUAAUUACACUAUACUGAUACAGAUGUAAGAUCAUAAUUUGAGCCAGUUUGCUACAGCAGGAAAAUAAUCCUGCAGCAAGAGGAAAUGUGAAUUAUUAUGUGAAUUAGAAUCCAUUUUUCAUAAAGGAAAAUCAAGUCUGAAAUUUAAAAGUGAAAAUUAUAACCUUCAGAAGCCUUUUUAAACCUCAAAAUGAAAAUGCAUUGCAUUUCAGGAACUUUCUCCUGCAACAGGGUGUUUAAAUUAAGAUCCUACACCUGUUAAGCUGAUUCCAUUUGACCACAAAGCCAUAAUACAUAAAUCUGCAGUGACUUUCCCUCCCUCCCUACAGCACAGAGACUGAGAGGUUGGCUGUCCUUCCUUGGUGGCAGGGCAGAGUGGCAUCUUGACAUUACCAUCCCCAGGCCCGCUGGCACAGCUGUCACCCACAGGAUGGGAGACUGGCAGGGUCGAUGGCCGCAUGGCGCGCCUGUUGGCUGCCGCCCUCCGUCCCCCUCUGUCCCCUCCAUCCCAUCUCUCAGUGAAAGGGCAAGAUGGCCUCCGUCAGUCUCUCAGUGCAUUGAUCAGAGGCCAGACCUCCAUUAGCUAAAGGUCACCGGGUUCACUGUGCUCUGUGCCGUCCCUACAGCUCCCCAUGACCAUGGUGGUGGGAGGAUGUUCGUUCCUUGCCCUACCUCCAUUCCGAGACUAGCAUGCUAGCAGAUACCCAUAGACUUCCAGUCAUAGUGCUAACGCUAGUUAGCAUUGGCUCGUCAAACUACCUCUAACUUCCUUCAUACUGGACAUAAAAAUGGUAUCCAUAAGUUUAUCUGACUCUGGGGAAGUAGAUUAAGGGCCUCAUUGCCAAAAUUCUGAAGUAUCCCAUCAAGUAUCAAAAGUAAAUGUAAUUACUAAAAUACACUUAAGUAUCAUAAUUUCACAUUCCUUAUAUUAAGCAAACCAGAUGGCACCAUUUUCUUGUUUUUUAUAUUUACCGAUAGCCAGGGGCACAGUCCAACACUCCAACACUCAGACAAAUGCAAUAUUUGUGUUUAGUGAGUCUGCCAGAUCAGAGGCAGUAGGGAUGACCAGGGAUGUUCUCUUGAGAAGUGUGUGAAUUGGACCAUUUUCCUGUCCUGCUAAGCAUUCGAAAUGUAACGAGUACUUUUGGGUGUCAGGAAAUGUUGUGAAUGACUAUAGUAGCUUGGAAACUGCAGUUUAAAAAAAAUGUAAUAUCUACAUAGACAUACAGAGGCCAAUUAUCAGCAACCGUCACUCCCUAGAAGGCCAGCAUCCCGGAGUCGCCUCUUCACUGUUGACAUUGAGACUGGUGUUUUGCGGGUACUAUUUAAUGAACCUGCCAGUUGAGGACUUGUGAGGCGUCUGUUUCUCAAACUAGACGCUCUAA
Molecule: long non-coding RNA, 5136 nt
Organism: Oncorhynchus kisutch (coho salmon)
Lineage: Eukaryota; Metazoa; Chordata; Actinopteri; Salmoniformes; Salmonidae
Exons: 3
Source: RefSeq, a predicted model, not a curated record